Molecule: transfer RNA, 73 nt
Filed under: Nippostrongylus brasiliensis
Lineage: Eukaryota; Metazoa; Nematoda; Chromadorea; Rhabditida; Heligmosomidae
Rfam family: tRNA
About the family: Transfer RNA (tRNA) molecules are approximately 80 nucleotides in length. Their secondary structure includes four short double-helical elements and three loops (D, anti-codon, and T loops).
Source: Rfam by way of RNAcentral
ACCUCAGUAGCGUAGUGUUUAACGCACCGCCCCUGAUAGGCGCAAGACGCGGGUUCGAAUCCCGCCUGAGGUG